This 711-nucleotide ribosomal RNA is filed under the name uncultured bacterium. RNAcentral's name for it is "bacterial SSU rRNA". It matches the Rfam family "Bacterial small subunit ribosomal RNA", at positions 94 to 803 of the family's 1533-position model. The record is from RNAcentral.
AGCGGCGGACGGGUGAGUAAUGCUUGGGAAUCUACCUAGUAGUGGGGGAUAACGUGUGGAAACGCACGCUAAUACCGCAUACGUCCUACGGGAGAAAGCAGGGGAUCUUCGGACCUUGCGCUAUUAGAUGAGCCCAAGUCGGAUUAGCUAGUUGGUGGGGUAAUGGCUCACCAAGGCUACGAUCCGUAGCUGGUCUGAGAGGAUGAUCAGCCACACUGGGACUGAGACACGGCCCAGACUCCUACGGGAGGCAGCAGUGGGGAAUAUUGCACAAUGGGCGAAAGCCUGAUGCAGCCAUGCCGCGUGUGUGAAGAAGGCUCUAGGGUUGUAAAGCACUUUCAGUAGGGAGGAACAGCUUAAGACUAAUACUCUUGAGCCUUGACGUUACCUACAGAAGAAGCACCGGCAAACUCCGUGCCAGCAGCCGCGGUAAUACGGAGGGUGCGAGCGUUAAUCGGAAUUACUGGGCGUAAAGCGCGCGUAGGUGGUUUGAUAAGCUAGCUGUGAAAGCCCCGGGCUCAACCUGGGAACUGCAGUUAGAACUGUCUGGCUAGAGUACAGUAGAGGGUGGCGGAAUUUCCUGUGUAGCGGUGAAAUGCGUAGAUAUAGGAAGGAACAUCAGUGGCGACGCGGCCACCUGGACUGAUACUGACACUGAGUUGCGAAAGCUUGAGGAGCAAACAGGAUAGAAUAGCUGGUAGUUCAAGCGGA